Molecule: long non-coding RNA, 1337 nt
Organism: Drosophila pseudoobscura
Lineage: Eukaryota; Metazoa; Arthropoda; Insecta; Diptera; Drosophilidae
Exons: 2
Source: RefSeq, a predicted model, not a curated record
AAUACACCAUACAACUCGAAGAGCUCGUGUGCUCCCAGUGUCAUGCAGUAAUGCAGUAAAUUUUGCUCAUAGCCGGCCCGCAAUACAGCCCACAGAUUCUGGCCAGAAGGUUUCCUGGCGAGGAACACUGAAGUUCGUGAGAGUGUCGACUACAUUGCAGACUGUCCAACGUGAACCUCUCCGAGUGAGUUCGUUCCAAUUGCGUGGGUGAGAGCCAAAAAGCGAGGGACGUGAAACGAUGGGCAAGAGGACGGCGCUGGUGCCAGGGCGAUUCUUGCCCUUCUUGCGUUGUCGUUGCAGCACCUUAUGGUCUCAUGAACCCCGUCAGAGCCCGGAACGCUACACAUGCAUACACACGUAUACACCCGGUUAAAACCGACACGCACCAACAUACAUACAUAUGUACAUAUAUAUGUGUAUAGAUUUAGGGCUGACCAGCCACGGCCAGCGAUCCGCCCACGUCGCGUAAAUUUAAACAUACAAAAAAAAAAUUUACUUGCCAAACACCUUUCACAUUUAAUGUUAUGUUGUUUCUCGUGUCGUCCUUUAUUGUUUUGUUGCAUUCAUUAGUGAUUUAAGUAACUUAAAUGUUGGUGAUUUCCCUACAGCCUGCCUCAUUCAAUAUUGAACAGUCUAGCCCUUGAUAGGUUUGUCUCGGUAGUUGCCCACAUUAACUUAAAGCCUUGUUCAUAUAUAUAUAUUUACCUCCACACAUGCAUAUAACAUCAUUAUCGCAUGAGUAAGAGUAUCCCCGUCAACGUCUCAACACAAUCAUAUAUUUACACGAAGAGUUAUAAUUUAUUGAUUUAUCUAGAUUUUGCAAAACGUUUUGGUGUUUUUGAAAAGUUAAAGUCUAGAUUUAGCGAAAGAUGAGAUUGUUGAUUAUUAGAUAUUAAAGCUUGGAUAUAUCGAAACAUGAUGCAGUAAAUUUAAAUAGAGGAAGGGCGCGAGUUACCGUCCUGGCACCCCUCGAGAUGCCUCCCGCUAAACCACCACGACUCAACUCAGCAUAAAAAUCCAACUCAAGUUGCACGAGCACGAUGUUUAUGCCGCCUAAGCAUAUGGCAUCAGCACAGUCAACAUUGUCUACCAUAUAAACCGGAAGGACCCCAGCCAAGAAUCAGCAAACUGACCUUAAAUGUAACAUCAGCAUUUUCUUAGGAACCCCAGCUGCAGCUAUGCCGACAGCGACGCCAAAGAACCAGCGGCAGAGCCGCCUACAUAAGUCAGUGAUCGCCACUGACCAAGCAGUCAAUUCCUGAAUCCCAGCCGGAAUACUUUUGUCACUCCAGAUAUAUCUUGAAGCUCCAAUAAACGUUUUACCAUAUUCACAUAAA